Molecule: transfer RNA, 70 nt
Filed under: Paraglypturus tonganus (nomen nudum)
Lineage: Eukaryota; Metazoa; Arthropoda; Malacostraca; Decapoda; Callianassidae
Description: tRNA-Leu
Source: RNAcentral
UGCUAGAAUGGCAGAUAGAUGCGUAAGAUUUAGGUUCUUAGUAGGAAAGUUGAAUUGUUUCUUUUAGUAG